GAUGAACGCUGGCGGCGUGCUUAACACAUGCAAGUCGAACGAGAAGUGAAGACGGAAACCUUCGGGCGGAAGGCUUUAUUUCGAGUGGCGGACGGGUGAGUAACGCGUGGGUAAUCUGCCUCAUACAGGGGGAUAACAGUUGGAAACGACUGUUAAUACCGCAUAAGACCACAGCACCGCAUGGUGCGGGGGUAAAAACUCCGGUGGUAUGAGAUGGACCCGCGUUCGAUUAGCCAGUUGGCGGGGUAACGGCCCACCAAAGCGACGAUCGAUAGCCGAUCUGAGAGGAUGACCGGCCACAUUGGGACUGAGACACGGCCCAAACUCCUACGGGAGGCAGCAGUGGGGAAUAUUGCACAAUGGGGGAAACCCUGAUGCAGCGACGCCGCGUGAGUGAAGAAGUAUUUCGGUAUGUAAAGCUCUAUCAGCAGGGAAGAAAAUGACGGUACCUGAGUAAGAAGCCCCGGCUAACUACGUG
This 478-nucleotide ribosomal RNA is filed under the name uncultured bacterium. Its description in RNAcentral is "partial 16S ribosomal RNA". It matches the Rfam family "Bacterial small subunit ribosomal RNA", at positions 28 to 507 of the family's 1533-position model. The record is from RNAcentral.